GACGAACGCUGGCGGCGUGCCUAACACAUGCAAGUCGAACGGAAAGGCCCUGCUUUUGUGGGGUGGUCGAGUGGCGAACGGGUGAGUAACACGUGAGUAACCCGUACUUGACUUUGGGAUAAAUUCAGGAAACUGGGGAUCAUACCGGAUAGGAGAUAUUGCUGCAUGGUGGGGGUUGGUAAGAUUCGGUGGUUGGGGAUGGAAUCGCGGCUUAUCAGCUUGUUGGUGGGGUAGUGGCUUACCAAGGUUUUGAAGGGUAGCCGGCCUGAGAGGGUGGCCGGCCACAUUAGUACUGAGGUACGGCCCAGACUCCUACGGUAGGCAGCAGUGGGGAGUAUUGCACAAUAGGCGGGAGCCUGAUGCGACAACGCCGCGUGCGGGAUGACGUCCUUCGGGUUGUGAACCGCUGUCGCCUUUGACGAGGCGUGAGUGACGGUAAUGGGUAAAGAAGCACCGGCUAACUACGUG
Molecule: ribosomal RNA, 468 nt
Filed under: uncultured bacterium
Lineage: Bacteria
Description: partial 16S ribosomal RNA
Rfam family: Bacterial small subunit ribosomal RNA
Source: RNAcentral